GAUGAACGCUAGCUACAGGCUUAACACAUGCAAGUCGAGGGGAAACGAUGAGAGAGCUUGCUCUCUUAGGCGUCGACCGGCGCACGGGUAAGUAACGCGUAUCCAACCUACCCAUUACAGGGGGAUAACCUUGCGAAAGUAAGACUAAUACCCCAUGGCAUUUUAUGGUGGCAUCAUUAUAGGAUUAAAGAUUUAUUGGUAAUGGAUGGGGAUGCGUCUGAUUAGCUUGUUGGCGGGGUAACGGCCCACCAAGGCAACGAUCAGUAGGGGUUCUGAGAGGAAGGUCCCCCACAUUGGAACUGAGACACGGUCCAAACUCCUACGGGAGGCAGCAGUGAGGAAUAUUGGUCAAUGGGCGAGAGCUUGAACCAGCCAAGUAGCGUGCAGGAUGACGGCCCUAUGGGUUGUAAACUGCUUUUAUAGGGGAAUAAAGUGAGCUACGUGUAGUUUAUUGCAUGUACCCUAUGAAUAAGGACCGGCUAAUUCCGUG
This 490-nucleotide ribosomal RNA is filed under the name uncultured bacterium. Its description in RNAcentral is "partial 16S ribosomal RNA". It matches the Rfam family "Bacterial small subunit ribosomal RNA", at positions 28 to 507 of the family's 1533-position model. The record is from RNAcentral.